GAUGAACGCUGGCUACAGGCUUAACACAUGCAAGUCGAGGGGAAACGACGGGGAAGCUUGCUUCCCCGGGCGUCGACCGGCGCACGGGUGAGUAACGCGUAUCCAACCUGCCUCUGACUGAGGGAUAACCCGUCGAAAGUCGGCCUAAUACCUCAUGGCAUCGUCUGCGGGCAUCCAACGACGAUUAAAGAUUUCAUCGGUCAGAGAUGGGGAUGCGUCUGAUUAGCUUGUUGGCGGGGUAACGGCCCACCAAGGCGACGAUCAGUAGGGGUUCUGAGAGGAAGGUCCCCCACAUUGGAACUGAGACACGGACCAAACUCCUACGGGAGGCAGCAGUGAGGAAUAUUGGGCAAUGGGCGAGAGCCUGAACCAGCCAAGUAGCGUGCAGGAUGACGGCGCUAUGGGUUGUAAACUGCUUUUAUGCGGGGAUAAAGUGACGGACGUGUCCUUCAUUGCAGGUACCGCAUGAAUAAGGACCGGCUAAUUCCGUG
This 491-nucleotide ribosomal RNA is filed under the name uncultured bacterium. Its description in RNAcentral is "partial 16S ribosomal RNA". It matches the Rfam family "Bacterial small subunit ribosomal RNA", at positions 28 to 507 of the family's 1533-position model. The record is from RNAcentral.